AUACGGAAGGUCCGGGCGUUAUCCGGAUUUAUUGGGUUUAAAGGGAGCGCAGGCGGAGAUGCAAGCGUGACGUCAAAUUUCGGGGCUCAACCCCGUCUCGCGUCGCGAACUGCGUCCCUUGGUUGCGGGAAGGGGAGGCGGAACUCGUGGUGUAGCGGUGAAAUGCAUAGAUAUCACGAAGAACUCCGAUCGCGAAGGCGGCCUUCCGGCCCGGCAACGACGCUCAUGCUCGAAGGUGCGGGUAUCAAACAGGAAUAGAUACCCUGGUAGUCCGUACAGUAAACGAUGGACACCCGCGGUUUGGCCUAUAUGGCUGAGCCGCCAAGCGAAAGCGUUAAGUGUCCCACCUGGGGAGUACGCCGGCAACGGUGAAACUCAAAGGAAUUGACGGGG
This 393-nucleotide ribosomal RNA is filed under the name uncultured bacterium. RNAcentral describes it as "partial 16S ribosomal RNA". It matches the Rfam family "Bacterial small subunit ribosomal RNA", at positions 523 to 918 of the family's 1533-position model. The record is from RNAcentral.